Molecule: ribosomal RNA, 253 nt
Filed under: uncultured bacterium
Lineage: Bacteria
Description: partial 16S ribosomal RNA
Rfam family: Bacterial small subunit ribosomal RNA
Source: RNAcentral
UACGGAGGGAGCUAGCGUUGUUCGGAAUGACUGGGCGUAAAGGGCGCGUAGGCGGAUGACACAGUCAGGCGUGAAAUUCCCGGGCUCAACCUGGGGGCUGCGCUUGAUACAUGUUGUCUUGAGUUCGGAAGAGGGUCGUGGAAUUCCCAGUGUAGAGGUGAAAUUCGUAGAUAUUGGGAAGAACACCGGUGGCGAAGGCGGCGACCUGGUCCGAUACUGACGCUGAGGCGCGAAAGCGUGGGGAGCAAACAGG